UAGGGAAUCUUCCGCAAUGGACGAAAGUCUGACGGAGCAACGCCGCGUGAGUGAAGAAGGAUUUCGGUUCGUAAAACUCUGUUGUUAGGGAAGAAAAAAUGUAUAGUAACUAUAUACAAAAGAGACGGUACCUAACCAGAAAGCCACGGCUAACUACGUGCCAGCAGCCGCGGUAAUACGUAGGUGGCAAGCGUUGUCCGGAAUUAUUGGGCGUAAAGCGCGCGCAGGUGGUUUAGAAAGUCUGAUGUGAAAGCCCACGGCUCAACCGUGGAGGGUCAUUGGAAACUAAUAAACGUGGGUGCAGGAGAGAAAAGUGGAAUUCCUAGUGUAGCGGUGAAAUGCGUAGAGAUUAGGAGGAACACCGGUGGCGAAAGCGGCUUUUUGGCCUGCAACUGACACUGAGGCGCGAAAGCGUGGGGAGCAAACAGG
This 429-nucleotide ribosomal RNA is filed under the name Verrucomicrobiota bacterium. RNAcentral's name for it is "Verrucomicrobia bacterium partial 16S ribosomal RNA". It matches the Rfam family "Bacterial small subunit ribosomal RNA", at positions 355 to 776 of the family's 1533-position model. The record is from RNAcentral. Lineage: Bacteria; Pseudomonadati; Verrucomicrobiota.